RNAcentral lists this ribosomal RNA (398 nucleotides) under Theileria ovis. Its description in RNAcentral is "SSU rRNA". It matches the Rfam family "Eukaryotic small subunit ribosomal RNA", at positions 450 to 885 of the family's 1831-position model. The record is from RNAcentral. Lineage: Eukaryota; Apicomplexa; Aconoidasida; Piroplasmida; Theileriidae.
CCUGACACAGGGAGGUAGUGACAAGAAAUAACAAUACGGGGCUUAAUGUCUUGUAAUUGGAAUGAUGGGAAUUUAAACCUCUUCCAGAGUAUCAAUUGGAGGGCAAGUCUGGUGCCAGCAGCCGCGGUAAUUCCAGCUCCAAUAGCGUAUAUUAAAAUUGUUGCAGUUAAAAAGCUCGUAGUUGAAUUUCUGCUGCAUUGCUUUUGCUCCUUUACGAGUCUUUGCAUUGUGGCUUAUUUCGGACUUUGUUUUACAAUGUCCGGAUGUUUACUUUGAGAAAAUUAGAGUGCUCAAAGCAGCUUUCGCCUUGAAUAGUUUAGCAUGGAAUAAUAAAGUAGGACUUUGGUUCUAUUUUGUUGGUUUUAGGUACCAAAGUAAUGGUUAAUAGGAACAGUUGG